GAUUGGCCGAGCCGUUGAGCGGCUGAGAUCAAAUACUCGGCAAGCUCGCGCGCGCUAGAAAGCUAGCCAACUGAAAGAACGGCUGUAGAAGCGCGCUGGUUCCCGCACAGUUCCACGCUUGCAAAUCGCCGUUUGUGCAUUCUGCAGUUUGUACUGUUCUCCCGGACAGUCACGGCGUGCCUGUGUGGGUGUAGCUGCGGUAGUUGUGGACUGCAGAAAUGAAGCCUGCCAGGGGGAAAACGCCGAAAAAGAAGGGUCCCUCCAGGCCGGCAUCCACUGAAGCGCAAGACCCGGUUGAAGUGUACUGCCGCAUCCGACCGUUGCACAAUCCCACCGACGUCCCUGUCGUGCGCGUCAUUGACAACAAAAUUGUCCAGCUUGAACCCCAGGAAACCAAUGGGCAGUCAAGGAAUAUACAGAAGCAGGUGUCACAAUCGAGAAGAUUGCUAGUUCAAUACCGGUACACAUUCAAGUGUGUGUUCGACACCGAUGCAUCGCAGCAAGAGUUAUUCGAGCACGUUGGCCUGCCCUUGGUCAGCGAUCUUCUACACGGGAAGCCCGGGCUUCUCUUCACCUAUGGAAUAACAUCGUCCGGCAAGACCUACACCAUGACAGGGCACCCGCAGGACGGAGGCAUCUUGCCACGAUGCUUGGACGUGGUGUUCAACUCCAUUGGGGAAUAUCAAGCUCGGAAAUAUGUGUUCAAACCAGACAAGCUCAAUGGCUAUGACACGCAGACAAUGGCUGAGGCAAUGGCCGAGUACCAACAGGACAUCAUGCCUCACACGCCAAAGCCGCCGAAAAUAAGGAGGAGGGACGAUGACGGAGUGGACUGGACAAGUCGCACGCACGAGACUGCCAAAGUUGACGACGUCGACGCUGACAUGGCAUAUGCAGUGUUUGUCUCGUACAUUGAGAUAUACAACAAUUACGUGUACGACCUCCUGGAGGACAAUCCGAUAGAUCCUGUGAAGACAAAACAGCUGCAGUCAAAGAUGUUACGUGAGGACUCCAAGCGCUGCGUCUAUGCCUUCGGCGUGACGGAGGUCGAAGUGAAGAGCGCAGACGAGGCAUUCGACGCCUGGUGUCGGGGACAGAAGCGCAAGCGCAUCGCUCACACCGCCCUCAACGCGGAGUCCAGCAGGAGCCACAGCAUCUUCAACAUCCGGCUCGUUCAAGCGCCACUCGAUGCUCAGGGCCUGGACAUCUUGCAGGACAAGAAUGCGCUGAUCAUCAGUCAGCUUUCGCUCGUGGACCUUGCCGGCAGUGAGCGCACAGACAGAACCGGCAACACUGGCCACCGGUUGAGGGAAGCAGGAAACAUCAACAAUUCUCUCAUGGUCCUGCGCACGUGCAUUGAAAUUCUGAGGGAAAACCAGACAACUGGGUCAAAUAAGAUGGUGCCCUACAGAGAUGCAAAGAUCACCCAUCUCUUCAAGAACUUCUUUGAUGGUGAAGGCAAAGUGCGGAUGAUUGUCUGCCUGAACCCGCGGCCAGACGACUAUGAUGAGACCUUUCACGUGAUGAAAUUUGCGGAGAUGGCUCAGGAGGUCCUGGUCCCGUGCUCCACACCGACAACGCCCGCCGCAACGCUCAAUCUGCGUACCGGUCGCAGACGGCCCAUCUUGCCGCGUACGGCAAAGUUCGGCGGCAGCCUGAAAGAGCUUUCCACAAUGCCACCUCCAGAAACGCCAAGGGAGGUGAUCCGCAUGCCCGAGCUGCAGAACUACUUGCUUACGGAUCCCUCUGAUGGUGAAGUUCUGCGGCGAAUGGAGGAGUGGCUGUCCCAGACGAUCAUGCUCAGGAAAGAAACCAAAGCAAGCGACAUGGCCCUGGUUGAUGACCUCAGGAGGCAGAUCAUACAGAUGGAAGCUGAGAACGGGGUGUUGAAAGAGGAGCACAAGGUUCUGAGGAUGGACCUCAAGGCUCGGGAGCAGCAGGUGAUUCUGCUCGAGAAGAAACUGUCCAACGCGGAGCAGUCCGUCCAAGCCCUCAACCUGGAGCUGGAAGGCAUGUUUCGCCAGAAAAAGACUGUGGAGAACAUGCUGGAUGAGAAGCAGAUGCAGCUGAACAAGGAGGCCAUGGAGAAAGUCCAGAUGCAUCACCGGAUGCAGGAGCAGAUCCAGCUAGAGCGGGAGAGGAUGAAGCGAGCCAUGAACCAGCUGCUUGCCGACAAGCAGGCCGAGCUGGAGGCCAAGCUGAGCGUGAACCACGAGAAGUUCCGCAUCCUGCGUGAAGUGCUCAACGGGGCAGACUGGGACGCGCCCGAGCCGUCUGCACCUCCCGCACCUGCGGAGAGUGGCGUGACGACCCGCUCUGCUGCUGCCAGCUGCGCAACAGGUGGACGCGAAAUGCACCCGCGGCCUCAUCCAGCAAGAAAGGAGAGACAGCCUCAACGCCGUCACUAUCGAGAAAUGGCUGCCUGCAUGCUUGGGCAGUGCGGAGUAUCGGCAACCGGAAUGUCAUCAUCAACUUCCGAGCCCAGGCUUUGUGGCACGCCAAAGACCACCAUGCCUCCGGUGAUGCGCCACAGGCGGUCCAGAUCUUCUGGUGCCGAGAUGUGGGUGGACCACAAGCCGACCGGUACUGUCGACACCGGCUCGGUGAUGCAGCCGGUGAUGAAGAAGAAGAAGUCGGUGGGCAAGCUGGGUGUGAAGGAUGUCACCAAGGGGGCGUCCAAGUACGCACUCUUGCACCAGGAACAGGACGCAGGUGGUGACGUGGAAGAACAGCUCUACAAGGGAGAUGUCAUCCCUUCCAUGACCGGCGGGGCCCAAGUGGUCUUCAGCGAGGUGGAGACAGUGAAGCAUUUGUCGCCAACUUCAAGUCAGCUCAGGUGUAAUCAGUCAGAAGAAACGAAGCAGUGGACGGGCAGCGCGUGAUGAUGACGAGGACUACGUGUCGGCUCGUUGCUCAGUGUCAGUUGAAGGUCACGCACAUCCUUCUGUGAUAAAACGAUCAAGAGUGUGAAUACUUUGGACCUGCUGCAUCAACCUGUGCCAAUCUCACUGCUGUAUAUAACUGCAAGAACAAGUGUAUCUUAGCGAUUCGCAAAUAUUUUUAUGCUUCAAAUAAAGCGUUUUUAGGACAAAA
Dermacentor albipictus is the source of this 3093-nucleotide RNA transcript. It is a transcript of the gene named kinesin family member pavarotti, with no coding region annotated. The record is from RefSeq and is a predicted model, not a curated record. NCBI's taxonomy places the organism in Eukaryota, Metazoa, Arthropoda, Arachnida, Ixodida, Ixodidae.